GUGGGGAAUAUUGGACAAUGGGCGCAAGCCUGAUCCAGCCAUGCCGCGUGAGUGAUGAAGGCCCUAGGGUUGUAAAGCUCUUUCACCGGAGAAGAUAAUGACGGUAUCCGGAGAAGAAGCCCCGGCUAACUUCGUGCCAGCAGCCGCGGUAAUACGAAGGGGGCUAGCGUUGUUCGGAAUUACUGGGCGUAAAGCGCACGUAGGCGGACAUUUAAGUCAGGGGUGAAAUCCCGGGGCUCAACCCCGGAACUGCCUUUGAUACUGGGUGUCUGGAGUAUGGAAGAGGUAAGUGGAAUUCCGAGUGUAGAGGUGAAAUUCGUAGAUAUUAGGAAGAACACCAGUGGCGAAGGCGGCUCACUGGUCCGGUACUGACGCUGAGGUGCGAAAGCGUGGGGAGCAAACAGGAUUAGAAACCCCAGUAGUCC
This 425-nucleotide ribosomal RNA is filed under the name uncultured bacterium. RNAcentral describes it as "bacterial SSU rRNA". It matches the Rfam family "Bacterial small subunit ribosomal RNA", at positions 354 to 796 of the family's 1533-position model. The record is from RNAcentral.